GCCGACCUAGCUCAACUGGCAGAGCAAUGCUUUCGUAAAGCAGAGGUUCCGGGUUCGAUUCCCGGGGUCGGCUCAA
This is a transfer RNA of 76 nucleotides. It matches the Rfam family "tRNA". From Rfam's summary of the family: Transfer RNA (tRNA) molecules are approximately 80 nucleotides in length. Their secondary structure includes four short double-helical elements and three loops (D, anti-codon, and T loops). Further hydrogen bonds mediate the characteristic L-shaped molecular structure. tRNAs have two regions of fundamental functional importance: the anti-codon, which is responsible for specific mRNA codon recognition, and the 3' end, to which the tRNAs corresponding amino acid is attached (by aminoacyl-tRNA synthetases). tRNAs cope with the degeneracy of the genetic code in two manners: having more than one tRNA (with a specific anti-codon) for a particular amino acid; and 'wobble' base-pairing, i.e. permitting non-standard base-pairing at the 3rd anti-codon position.